RNAcentral lists this ribosomal RNA (392 nucleotides) under uncultured bacterium. RNAcentral's name for it is "bacterial SSU rRNA". It matches the Rfam family "Bacterial small subunit ribosomal RNA", at positions 28 to 414 of the family's 1533-position model. The record is from RNAcentral.
GACGAACGCUGGCGGCGUGCCUAACACAUGCAAGUGGAGCGACGAACCAGGCUUCGGCCUGGGGCAAAGCCGCGAACGGGUGAGUAACACGUGGGUAACCUGCCCUGAUGAUUGGGACAACCCGAGGAAACUCGGGCUAAUACCAAAUGUGCCCUUCGGCCACAAGGCCGCUGGGGAAAGGAAGCUUCGGCCUCCGCAUCUGGAUGGGCCCGUGGCCCAUUAGCUUGUUGGUGAGGUAACGGCUCACCAAGGCGACGAUGGGUAGCUGGUCUGAGAGGACGAUCAGCCACACUGGGACUGAGACACGGCCCAGACUCCUACGGGAGGCAGCAGUGGGGAAUCUUGCGCAAUGCGCGAAAGCGUGACGCAGCAACGCCGCGUGGGGAAGACGG